This 406-nucleotide ribosomal RNA is filed under the name uncultured bacterium. Its description in RNAcentral is "partial 16S ribosomal RNA". It matches the Rfam family "Bacterial small subunit ribosomal RNA", at positions 30 to 526 of the family's 1533-position model. The record is from RNAcentral.
AUUGAACGCUGGCGGCCGGCCUAACACAUGCAAGUCGAGCGAGCGGCGGACGGGUGAGUAAUGUCUGGGAAACUGCCUGAUGGCGGGGGAUAACUACUGGAAACGGUAGCUAAUACCGCAUAACCUCAGAUGUGCCCAGAUGUGAUUAGCUAGUAGGUGGGGUAACGGCUCACCUAGGCGACGAUCCCUAGCUGGUAUGAGAGGAUGACCAGCCACACUGGAACGGAGACACGGUCCUUACUCCUACGGGAGGCAGCAGUGGGGAAUAUUGCACAAUGUGCGCAAGCCUGAUGCAGCCAUGCCGCGUGUGUGAAGAAGGCCUUCGGGUUGUAAAGCACUUUCAGCGGGGAGGCGUUACCCGCAGAAGAAGCACCGGCUAACUCCGUGCCAGCAGCCGCGGUAAUUC